Molecule: long non-coding RNA, 3898 nt
Filed under: Sus scrofa (pig)
Lineage: Eukaryota; Metazoa; Chordata; Mammalia; Artiodactyla; Suidae
Description: lncRNA (ENSSSCG00040053799.1)
Source: RNAcentral
UUUUUUUUUUUUUUUUUGGUCUUUUUAGUGGCAUAAGGAAGUUCCAGAUGCCAUGGAUGUGGCCCUAAAAGGCAAAAAAGAAAAAAGAAAAAGAAAAAAGAAAAAAGAAAAAAAAAUGAUGCAAAGAGCAGAGAAGGGGAAGGAAGACGCAGUGAGUGAACACUAAAAGUAAUGAAUAAGAGGACAAUCCUAGAAAUACCAAAAAAGUCACAGGACAGAUCAUCUCUUAUUUUACAAAUGUUCUGAUGGUGAUGAUAAGGCAGAAGAGAGGUAGAGUAGGGUUGGGGAUGAGUCAUUUCAGAACAUUGUGAAAUCAACAAGCCUCAUAUGAAUAUCUCCAUUCUCAAUUUUUUAUGACUCUGAUCAAAUUGUCACUUAUAAAGAAAUGGUCAGGAAAUGGACAUCUAAUUAGAAAACAAGCUGAUAAAAUUAUAUAGAAUGGUGCGGUGUUAACAAUUUACGUAGGGCUCACAUACCAUUUUCAGGAAGACAUAAAAGUGAGGUCAUAGAACUCUGAUCUCAAUAAAAUGAUGUGAAAGAUGAGAGAAUUUUAAGUCUGGCAGUGACCAUUAUCUAACAUUUAAAUUGCUUCUCCAAUUCCCAUAUUUUGUAUUGAACUGCCUUUUGUUUGUCCACAAUCAGUGAUAGGAAACUCAUUACUUUGUUUUAUCAGACCAGGACAUUUCUAUGUAUAUAUUCUCCAGACUUUCCAGAUCUUUUUCAAUAGGUACCUGUCACAUGGCCCCUUAGUUUGUGAAUAAACCAAAGUGUUAUAUGUUAUCAAUAUCAUCCUCUAAGACACUAAUAGAUAAGUUGAAGAAAUAUUUAAGAAAAUUAACAUGUCAAGAGAUAAGUCUGCUGAUUUAAGAAUGAAACUCCUUGGAGUUCCCAUCAUGGUUCAGGGAAAACAAAUAUGACUAAUAUCCAUAAGGAUGCAGGUUUGAGCCCUAGCCUGGCUCAGUGGGUUAAGGAUCCUGCAUUGCUGUGGCUGUGGUGUAGGAGGCAGCUAUAGCUCCGAUUCAACCCCUGGCCUGGGAACCUCCAUAUGCCAUGGGUGUGGCCCUGAAAACCAAAAAAAAAAAAAAAGGAAUGAAACUCCUAUAAAUACGACAUAGAGAAACAAAAUUGUAAAGAUAUUUGGAGGUUUUUUUUGGAGAAAUUGUGGCAAUAAAGUAUACAAUAACAUUUUGGAAAGGAAGAAAUUUGGGGGCUAGGGUGAGCUCAUGGUUGUACUCAGGGGAAAAUGUAUUUCUAUGGAUAGAAACCAGAAGGAGAUAUGAAACUGAAUUUUGGCCUAGAACCAAUUAUGAAGCCCAGAAAAAAAGAGAUUUAGUAACUAAUAUCUAUCUAUAUACUUAGUCUUUACUUAAAGUACAGGUGAAUUAUGUAGUUUGACCUAGGGUAAUGAUACAAACCAACCAAUAGGAAUUUUUGUCAGGCCAAAGUGAUCCAUCUGAAAGAGUUUAAUGUGAUUUACUUCUUCCCUCAAAUUAUAAUGAAACAGUAUAUGUGUGCUUAGAGACCUAUUGAGUCCAUACAGUAUAGAAAAAUCACAGAAAUGACAACAGAAUGGUGACUUCAAGGACAUAGUCUCAAGGACAUAUUCCUUAAAAGUGACACUGUUAAUCACCUGGAUAUUAACAGUUACCAAACUCUAUGCCAGGCAAUGUGCUAGGUUCUGAAGAAACACAGAUGAAGCAGGCAUGUCUUACCUCCAGAAAGAAGCUUAUAGUUUAGAAGGAGAAUUUGAUGCACACAAAAUUAAUUCACUUGGGAGGAGGAAGGAACACCUGCCUUGUGGGGGAAGUUAGAACUGGCUUCACAUAGGAAACAAGGAUUUGAGCUUUCAGGAUUUGAAGGAUGAGUGGGACUUCAAGCAUUAUAAAUGGAGAAAGGGGCAUUGCAUACAGCUGUGACAUAUGGAUAAGAACUAUGGGGCAUAAUAAGCUCUUUAGUCUAUAUCUUCUAUUUUGCGAAUGUUAGCUUGACUUGGCAAAAGGUUAGGCAAAGGAGAAGAGCUGUCUUCCAUAUCACGACCAUCCUGCUCAACUUUCAGGCCAUCUACUUUGGGCCAUUUUGAUCUCUAGCUCUCCUCUACCAUGCCCUGCUCACGCCUCAUUGGGGUUGCCAGAAUAAGAAGCCAGGGCAAAGAUGCCUGUGUGUGUAUAAGACAAGAGUACAAUCGCAUGUCUACAUGGACUAAUGUACAAAAGGCUGACAUUUGUUUUCCAUCUGAUACAUACUCAUUACAAGAGUCUUUAAUGGACUGAAGUUUUUAACACUUUCGAUUCUGAGAGAAUCAGGGGAUGUGUUGACCUUAGGUAUGUCUAACAUGCCUUGAUUUCGGGAUUAAUAAAUCAUUAAGCUCCUUCAUCUGAUAUUAUUUUUGCAUUGGUGCCUGGAUGACAUACCAAAUUUUCUGCCUAAUUCUGGGAGACAGUAGUUCUCAGACACUUCUGCAAAAAAUUGGAAAAUCCCUUAAUGUCUAGUCUUCUGGGCACCGCACACCUGGAAGAGUCCCAGAAAAUACCACUCUAACAAGCCCCUUUAGAUCAUACUAAGCCAAUGUUAUGAACCACUAUACUAUUUCAUGGCAUAAACUUGGUAGUAUUAUUGUAGUUUUACCAAUGAUAAUAUUAUAUUUUCAACAGUAUCUGCCAUUAAAAUGAUCAUUUAUAAUUUAUAAAGUAUGUCUAAGUGCAUUACCUUAUUUAAGUCUCCCAUGAGCCCUAAGAUGAGAAUUAUUAUGAAUCCCAUUUUAUAAACAGGCAGGCCAGGAUCCAGAGGAAUAAAUGACUUGCCCUAAAUCACUCAACUAUUUGGCCACAAGGGAAAAAAACAAUCAAGAUCUUGUUCCAAGUCCUAUGCCUUUUAUUGUCCCAGAAUGACCUGUGUUAUUUUGUGCCACAUAGAAUCAAAUUUAAUAAAAUGAGUAACUGUGUGCUUGGCAAUGAAACCCAUGCCCAUAUUUCUUCCUUGAUCUUAAACAGAGAUAUCAUGAUAUUGUUAUUUUGCUAUGUAAACUUGUUUCAAAUACAGGACAUCUACAUUGUUGUCUGAGACAGGAUAUCAAAUCCAGAGUAUCAGGAGUUUUGGAAACAUUCUAUCAACUCUAAAAGAGUGUUGUCUAUUAUUGACUAUACACUUAGUUAUGCUUCCCUUAUUAAAGAGUUGGCCCCUUUCCUCCAACUUAGAUUCAUUUUUCUUUUUUUAAAAAAAAAAUUAUUAUAGCUGAUUUAUAGUGUUCUGUCAAUUUCUGCUGCAUAAAUUCUGGCAACAAAGUGACCCAGUUAUACAUAUACAUACAUUCUUUUUCUCAUAUUAUCUUCUAUCAUAUCAUCCCCCCUAAGAAAGAACCAUGUCUAUGUAAAUUAAACAUAAAUUAUUACCAACACUAGAAUAGCCAUUUCCUACAUCCUUCUUUGGAUACUCAGUUGUGUGUAUAUAUAUAUGUAUAUAUGUAUAUAUAUGUGUAUGUGUGUGUGUGUGUGUGUGUGUGUGUGUGUGUGUAUGAAAGCAGAGAAAACCAGUAUAGAAAAGGAAACUCAUUGAUAUCAAUGUGCCCACUUUGAUAUUAUAUUCAAAAUAUCCAAGCAGAGAAUGGAUGACCAGCCCAUUCUUCAGAUGGAAUUCCUUCAAGGGACAGAAGGUUAGCUGCCCAUGUGCCUACCCCAUUUUGCUGCCAUGUGUUCAGAUCCCUCCUUGCUAAGACACAUCACCCCCUUUUGAAUAUAUGUGGCUCAGUUUCCAUUUUUAUAAAACACAUCCUUGACAUUUACAUGGAUCAGCAGAAACAACAAACUUUUGGAACAAAUUAUUGUUAAUUUAAGGUAGAAACAUCUGACUUGGACAUCACUCUGACAAUGAUCUCUCUGAUGAAGUCCUCAUUCAAAUUUUA